GAGAUCCCCCACACUGGUACUGAGACACGGACCAGACUCCUACGGGAGGCAGCAGUGGGGAAUUUUCCGCAAUGGGCGAAAGCCUGACGGAGCAACGCCGCGUGAGGGAUGAAGGCCUCUGGGCUGUAAACCUCUUUUAUCAAGGAAGAAGAUCUGACGGUACUUGAUGAAUAAGCCACGGCUAAUUCCGUGCCAGCAGCCGCGGUAAUACGGGAGUGGCAAGCGUUAUCCGGAAUUAUUGGGCGUAAAGCGUCCGCAGGCGGCCCUUCAAGUCUGCUGUUAAAAAGUGGAGCUUAACUCCAUCAUGGCAGUGGAAACUGUUGGGCUUGAGUGUGGUAGGGGCAGAGGGAAUUCCCGGUGUAGCGGUGAAAUGCGUAGAUAUCGGGAAGAACACCAGUGGCGAAGGCGCUCUGCUGGGCCAUCACUGACGCUCAUGGACGAAAGCCAGGGGAGCGAAAGGGAUUAGAUACCCCUGUAGUCCUGGCCGUAAACGAUGAACACUAGGUGUCGGGGGAAUCGACCCCCUCGGUGUCGUAGCCAACGCGUUAAGUGUUCCGCCUGGGGAGUACGCACGCAAGUGUGAAACUCAAAGGAAUUGACGGGGGCCCGCACAAGCGGUGGAGUAUGUGGUUUAAUUCGAUGCAACGCGAAGAACCUUACCAGGGUUUGACAUCCUGCGAAUCUCUUGGAAACGAGAGAGUGCCUUCGGGAACGCAGUGACAGGUGGUGCAUGGCUGUCGUCAGCUCGUGUCGUGAGAUGUUGGGUUAAGUCCCGCAACGAGCGCAACCCACGUCUUUAGUUGCCAGCAUUUAGUUGGGCACUCUAGAGAGACUGCCGGUGAUAAACCGGAGGAAGGUGUGGAUGACGUCAAGUCAUCAUGCCCCUUACAUCCUGGGCUACACACGUACUACAAUGCUACGGACAAAGGGCUGCAAGUUCGCGAGGACAAGCAAAUCCCAUAAACCGUGGCUCAGUUCAGAUCGUAGGCUGCAACUCGCCUACGUGAAGGCGGAAUCGCUAGUAGUCGCAGGUCAGCAUACUGCGGUGAAUACGUUCCCGGGCCUUGUACACACCGCCCGUCACACCAUGGAAGUUGGCCACGCCCGAAGCCGUUACUCCAACCCUUGUGGAGGAGGACGUCGAAGGUGGGGCUGAUGACUGGGGUGAAGUCGUAA
Molecule: ribosomal RNA, 1176 nt
Filed under: uncultured bacterium
Lineage: Bacteria
Description: bacterial SSU rRNA
Rfam family: Bacterial small subunit ribosomal RNA
Source: RNAcentral